AGAGUUGAUCAUGGCUCAGGAUGAACGCUAGCGGGAGGCCUAACACAUGCAAGCCGAGCGGUAUUGUUCUUCGGAAAUGAGAGAGCGGCGUACGGGUGCGGAACACGUGUGUAACCUGCCUUUAUCUGGGGGAUAGCCUUUCGAAAGGAAGAUUAAUACUCCAUAAUAUAUUGAACGGCAUCGUUUAAUAUUGAAAGCUCCGGCGGAUAGAGAUGGGCACGCGCAAGAUUAGCUAGUUGGUGAGGUAACGGCUCACCAAGGCGAUGAUCUUUAGGGGCCUGAGAGGGUGAUCCCCCACACUGGUACUGAGACACGGACCAGACUCCUACGGGAGGCAGCAGUGAGGAAUAUUGGUCAAUGGGUGCAAGCCUGAACCAGCCAUCCCGCGUGAAGGACGACUGCCCCUAUGGGUUGUAAACUUCUUUUGUAUAGGGAUAAACCUACCCUCGUGAGGGUAGCUGAAGGUACUAUACGAAUAAGCACCGGCUAACUCCGUG
This 497-nucleotide ribosomal RNA is filed under the name uncultured bacterium. RNAcentral's name for it is "bacterial SSU rRNA". It matches the Rfam family "Bacterial small subunit ribosomal RNA", at positions 8 to 507 of the family's 1533-position model. The record is from RNAcentral.